UGUAGAAGGGAUAGGAGAUGUCAAGUUCAUGAUGAACGGAGUGAGGAUGACAAUCAAGGACGUGCUUUUCGUUCCUCGGAUCAACAAAAACAUUCUGAGUUUUAGUCGGAUGAAAAAAAGAGGCUAUUCAAUGGAAGUGGAUGACGGUGAAUGGAUCAUUCGGGAUGGGACUGGGAAAAUAUUUUUUAAAACCUUGCGGGAAGAGAGAGGCAUUGCUCUGCGUUUGCAGAUGAUUGAAAGGUGAUGGAAGGUAUAAUCUCACUUCUUAACUAGCGGCUUGUACCACUAUGAAUAAUUUUGGUAGUAGACUUAACUCGUAAGGUAUGGACAAACCAAAUCUUUUGUGUGUUUGUUUGUUUCUUUUUCAGUUUGUUCAUGUAAGAAAAGCUGAUUCAUUUUCCCCUGUUGUGGUAAGCAUUAGUCUGGUCUCUUAACCUAGACGGCUUGGUUUUAAUCUAGUAGUCAAAAACUAUGUUGUUAUUCACAAUGCAGUGUGCUUUUGUCAAGUUUUGUUAAUGGUAAGAAGGAAUCAAUUUCUAGUAGAA
Long non-coding RNA from Arabidopsis lyrata subsp. lyrata, 545 nucleotides. RefSeq lists it as uncharacterized. NCBI's taxonomy places the organism in Eukaryota, Viridiplantae, Streptophyta, Magnoliopsida, Brassicales, Brassicaceae. The record is from RefSeq and is a predicted model, not a curated record. The transcript is spliced from 2 exons.